This 300-nucleotide ribosomal RNA is filed under the name uncultured Pyrobaculum sp. RNAcentral's name for it is "bacterial SSU rRNA". It matches the Rfam family "Bacterial small subunit ribosomal RNA", at positions 496 to 795 of the family's 1533-position model. The record is from RNAcentral. Lineage: Archaea; Thermoproteati; Thermoproteota; Thermoprotei; Thermoproteales; Thermoproteaceae.
GAUAGUCUCGAGCAAGGGGCGGGGGGAUUACGGGGGAUCCAAGCGUAAUGCGGAAUCAUUGUGUUUAAAGGGUCCGUAGGCGGCCUUAGAAGUCAGCGGUGAAAGUUUUUGGCUUAACCAAAAAAUUGCCAUUGAUACUGUAGGGCUUGAAUAUUUGUGAAGUAACUAGAAUAUGUAGUGUAGCGGUGAAAUGCUUAGAUAUUACAUGGAAUACCAAUUGCGAAGGCAGGUUACUAACAAAUGAUUGACGCUGAUGGACGAAAGCGUGGGUAGCGAACAGGAUUAGAUACCCGGGUAGUC